This is a non-coding RNA of Taeniopygia guttata (zebra finch), 1513 nucleotides long. NCBI's taxonomy places the organism in Eukaryota, Metazoa, Chordata, Aves, Passeriformes, Estrildidae. The record is from RefSeq and is a predicted model, not a curated record.
CAUGACAUGCAAACUUACCUGGAAUAGAAUUGCUAACGUCCCAGCUUAGCAAUAGUUUGGGUAAUUGCAGGAAGCAGGUUCUGGAAAUGACUCUGGCACAUUUCAUUAUGUGGCUGCCCUACAGCUCCUCAUGCAGAAUGAACUGUAGAGGUAUCAGACCUUCUUUUUGAAAAAAUCAUUAUUUCAAUACUAAAAAAGUUGGAUUGUUAUAAGUUUAAUAACUUUACACUAAACUUAAACUGUUUAGUAAUUCAGUGUUUGUUAAAAUUUAAACCAGUGACAGCUCCUAGGGAAAUUACAGCAGCUGAGCUGGAGGCAAAGCUAUUUUCCUGUCUCAUAAAAACUUUCAGUGCAUUAAAAGCAAGCUUGUUUCUGUUGGAAGAUACCUUGAAGAAUUUCUAUGGAAAAUCAGAAACACUGAUCACUCUAUUCAAACUCUGAAGAGUGGUGGGUCAGCCUGCUGAAUAUGAAAGUCACAGGUUUUUAGUUGCUGUUAUGCUUGGUUCAGACUUGGGAGCUAAUUUUGAUCUCCUUCAUGCAAGUGAAUGCUUCCAUCACUGAAUCAAUGUACAUGCAUGCCCCUCUUUCUUUCUCCACCACAAAAACAAACAAACAAGCUCCAUUUGGAUGAGUCCAGUUUUCCAAGUAAAAUUCUCCACAGAAAAAUUUGGUGAGAGCUCUUGAUGGGAGGAGGGAUGUGGUUAAUUAAUGGGUGGUGCUGUGGUUGCAUUCUGACCUCUUGCAGGGCACAUAAUGCCUAUAUUCCUCUACAAGCUUGUGGCUGAAAAAGGAAGUCAAAUCUUUAUUAAAAAUAAAAAGUAUUAUUCCAGUUCUAGCUCCCUGUUAGUUAUUUGAGAGUGGGUGCAUGUGCUGGGGACAUAACACAUGGUAUCAUGGAGAGGGAAAGAGGAUUUAGGGCUUCCUUUGUUGUUCCUUUUGUUCUCUUUUCCCACUACUGCUUUGGUGAUGUCAGCACUUUGCAUGCUGGGCAUUCUGGGCUGUGGGCUUUUUGCUGUGCUGCACAGAGCUAGGAGCCUGGAAAGCUAAAGAGCUUUUAUUUAUGUUCACAUUAACAGAAUAAUGGGUGUGGGCUCAGGUCUCCAUGCUGAGAUCCACCUUUUGUGUGAAAAUAAAUAAAUCUGUGCUUUCCUUCCCCCCCCGCCCCGCCUCUGGCUGUUCUGCACUGCCUCAAACACAGAGCUGAUCAGCAUAAGAAAUACUGGUGCCAACAUCCUCAAGUCCUUUACCUUCACUGGGGAAAUCCUCAGCUAUCUUUCUCCCAGUGAUUUACAGCAUCAGAAGAAGAACAGAAACCCCUCUGAAUCCAUUACUCUCUUCCACUGCAAUUUUUAAAUAAAAGAGCAGUUUAUCUGGUGAAGAAGAAAGAAGCUGAAAAAUAAAUUAAAACAAAACCAAAACAAAACCAAAAAACCCCAACAAAAACAGUGCAUCAUAUGUCAGCAAAACAUGAUGGAAAUAUUGCAAUAAAAAAAUAAAGUGUCAACAAAAAAAA